CCUACGGGAGACAGCAGUGAGGAAUAUUGGUCAAUGGUCGCGAGCCUGAACCAGCCAAGUAGCGUGAAGGAUGACUGCCCUACGGGUUGUAAACCUCUUUUAUAAAGGAAUAAAGUGAGGCACGUGUGCCCUUUUGUAUGUACUUUAUGAAUAAGGAUCGGCUAACUCCGUGCCAGCAGCCGCGGUAAUACGGAGGAUCCGAGCGUUAUCCGGAUUUAUUGGGUUUAAAGGGAGCGUAGAUGGGUUGUUAAGUCAGUUGUGAAAGUUUGCGGCUCAACCGUAGCAUUGCAAUUGAUACUGGCAGCCUUGAGUACAGUUGAGGUAGGCGGAAUUCGUGGUGUAGCGGUGAAAUGCUUAGAUAUCGCGAAGAACUCCGAUUGCGAAGGCAGCUUACUAAACUGCCACUGACAUUGAUGCUCGAAAGUGUGGGUAUCAAACAGGAUUAGAUACCCUAGUAGUC
RNAcentral lists this ribosomal RNA (460 nucleotides) under uncultured bacterium. RNAcentral describes it as "partial 16S ribosomal RNA". It matches the Rfam family "Bacterial small subunit ribosomal RNA", at positions 338 to 795 of the family's 1533-position model. The record is from RNAcentral.